Molecule: ribosomal RNA, 331 nt
Filed under: uncultured bacterium
Lineage: Bacteria
Description: bacterial SSU rRNA
Rfam family: Bacterial small subunit ribosomal RNA
Source: RNAcentral
CUAGCAGUAUCAGAGUUUGAUCCUGGCUCAGGACGAACGCUGGCGGCGUGCCUAACACAUGCAAGUCGAACGGAGCACCUUCGGGUGCUUAGUGGCGAACGGGUGAGUAACGCGUGAGAAACCUGCCUUUCAGUGGGGGACAACAGUUGGAAACGACUGCUAAUACCGCAUAAUGUUAUUUGAGGGCAUCCUCGGAUAACCAAAGCUUAAUGUGCUGAAAGAUGGUCUCGCGUCUGAUUAGCUAGAUGGCGGGGUAACGGCCCACCAUGGCGACGAUCAGUAGCCGGUCUGAGAGGAUGAACGGCCACAUUGGGACUGAGAUACGGCCCAG